GAUGAACGCUGGCGGCGUGCCUAAUACAUGCAAGUCGAGCGAACGGACGAGAAGCUUGCUUCUCUGAUGUUAGCGGCGGACGGGUGAGUAACACGUGGAUAACCUACCUAUAAGACUGGGAUAACUUCGGGAAACCGGAGCUAAUACCGGAUAAUAUUUUGAACCGCAUGGUUCAAAAGUGAAAGACGGUCUUGCUGUCACUUAUAGAUGGAUCCGCGCUGCAUUAGCUAGUUGGUAAGGUAACGGCUUACCAAGGCAACGAUGCAUAGCCGACCUGAGAGGGUGAUCGGCCACACUGGAACUGAGACACGGUCCAGACUCCUACGGGAGGCCGCAGUAGGGAAUCUUCCGCAGUGGGCGAAAGCCUGACGGAGCAACGCCGCGUGAGUGAUGAAGGUCUUCGGAUCGUAAAGCUCUGUUAUUAGGGAAGAACAUAUGUGUAAGUAACUGUGCACAUCUUGACGGUACCUGAUCAGAAAGCCACGGCUAACUACGUG
This 497-nucleotide ribosomal RNA is filed under the name uncultured bacterium. RNAcentral describes it as "partial 16S ribosomal RNA". It matches the Rfam family "Bacterial small subunit ribosomal RNA", at positions 28 to 507 of the family's 1533-position model. The record is from RNAcentral.